CUAGUUUGCGGUGUCUGAAAAUUUCUGCUCCAAUUUAAUUUUUUAAGGAGAAAUAAUUAACGUCACUCGAUGAAGUUUUCACAGAAUUUAAUUGCCCUGCGCAGAAGCGAAAAAUCACAGAAAUUUUAGAAGUGUCGCUGAAUAAUUUUUCAUUUAAAAAAUAAAGUAUGCCAGAAAGUCUUCUAUGUCGCAAACUGCGAUAUGUCGUUUGAGAGUUUCACCCUCGAUAUGUUAUACUCGCUGCAAGUAUCUAAUAUGUAACUAAUCCUUGACUGCGCAUUGACCUAUAUUUUGAUUUACUUAUUUUAUUCUUCCAGGAGGGCGGAACAAGCUCGGAGUCCUCAUCCUCAAGUUCGUCAUCCUCAUCAUCAUCCACCUCAUCCUCGAGCAACGAAAACUCUGGCUCCGACUCAAGUAGCUCUGAUUCAGAGUCCUCGUCCUCCGAUCGGAAAUCCACCGAUUCCGAAACCCGUCGCUCCCGGAAAUCAGCCUCACCCAUCAAGAAGAAAACACCACCACGCUCCAACAAGCCAGAACCAAAACCAGUCAACAAUGUCAAAUCAAAGAAUUUCCCGGCCACAAAAAUGUCAGGCAUCUACUCCUCAGAAUCGGACGAUGAUCGGUCCAAGCGGCGCCUCUCCACAUCCAAAGGUCCGAAAGCCUCCGCAACCGUCACGCCAAAUGUCUCGAAACCAGCAGCCAAGCCAAAGGCCUCGGCUGCAUCGGCAGUUAACAGUAAGAAAAUCGAGUCGAAAAGGCUGUCUAGUUCCAGUUUGAAGCAUGCUGCAACCUCAAAGUCUGAGCCCAAAACGAAGACUAAGAGUAUUUUCAGUCCGGAUAACAGCUCGGAGAGUGAUAAUCAGAGUCCUCCGCCCCCGAAGUUGACACCAAUGAAGAAUGUUCCCGCUGCCUCGGCUUCCAAGAAUCUCAUCAAAUCAAAAUGUCCAAGGCAACGCCAGUGAAAAAAGAGUCUGGUUCUGCAUCAGAAAAGUCACGCACCAGUUCUGUGUCCUCUCGCAGUUCAGUUUCCUCAGAAAGCAGCUCCGACUCCGAGGAGAGCACCCCGGCUCCGUCGGUCACCCCGCAGAAAGUCUCACCUCCCCACCGAAAUCCUCGACGAGCAUCACGCCUUCCUCGGACACGAGUCCCAAGAAAAAGGGGCGCGGGCGGCCCCGAAAAAACCCCCUGCCGUCGGGUAGCGAGGUCAAACCCGGGGCCGUUAAAAAGGCGGAGCCGAAAACGACUCCCCCCGCGGCGGCGGCUGCGACUGCGGCGGCGGCGGCGGGUCCAAAGAAAACGACGAGGUCUGGAACCACCCGCACAAGUAAGCACUUGUCAGGAACCAUAAGCAUAAAAGUGCAGAGUGACUCUGAGUCCGAUUCAGGUAUGAUUCGUUGCCAGCAACCAACGCCUCCCGAUGUUAAAUACUAUCUUCAGCGUUUUGCGAUGGUAUUAGCAACCAAGGGUAUCUCUCUUCUAUUUUUCACUCUUUCGUCCGGUCACUUCUUCGGUCGACUCCAGGGGACCAUGUUUUGCUUGAGUGUGAAAGUAUUUAGUUACUCAGGGUGUAGACAACUAGAAAACCGUAUUGUAGUCAAAUUUUAA
This 1605-nucleotide long non-coding RNA is filed under the name Bemisia tabaci. RNAcentral describes it as "lncRNA ENSSSA2NGG014081". Lineage: Eukaryota; Metazoa; Arthropoda; Insecta; Hemiptera; Aleyrodidae. The record is from RNAcentral.